GAAACAUAUAUUAAUGAAAAUAUAACUUUAAUUUAUUUGCGCCAUCUAUCGAUGAAACUGUGAAAAUAAACUGAAAUGUAUUAUAAACUCAUGUGCUCAUCUAUGUAUUACAUUAUUUAAAUUUCCCGCGCACGCGCAAAUCAACGACAUAUUCGUUCAAUCGAAUUUGAUGCAGUAUCAACACGAUAUAACAUUACUUCACUGAGAGAAGAAGCAAGUCUACGUUUCGCGAUUUUCUUCGAGGGCGUUUUCAUCUAGAAUUUCUCAUCGAGAUAUUUAUUUUGAAACUACUUUUAGGAAUUUACUGAAUUUUCAGUACAGGGAAGAAAAUAAAUUUAUUUAAUUAUUAUAUUAUUAUUUUAUAUUAUUUAAUUAAAGAUAUCCAUUUUUUCUUCAAUUUCUUAUGUUUUUUUUUCGAGUAUUUAAAAAAAAUUUAUAAUUUACAUAUUUUCAUUGUUUUAGAUAAAACGAAGAACAAUAUAAAUAUAUUUAACGUGAAUAAUUACAAUAAAUGCUUAUAUAAUGCAUAUUUCAAAUUUGCAUUUUCCGUUUUUGUUUCCGAUUAAAUUUUCUUUAAUUUAUCAUCUCUUGAUUUUAAGAGACAAAUAAUUUGAGGUAAGGUAUUUAUAUAAGGUAAUGAUAAUAAAAAUAUAUUCUUAAUAUCGUCAAUUUGAGAUCAAGCACAAUUUGUUUAUUCUUUUUUUUAUUUUUCAGUUACUAAACAUUUUUCGUUUGACGAAAAAAAAAUAAAAGAAAUAAUUAAUUAUGUGAAAUUUUUAAAAAUUAAAAUUUGAAAUAAAAAUUAUACGAAAUAUUUUUUCAUAACGACAUUCAUAACAUAUUUUUGUCUCUAGUUUAUAACAAACAAUUAUUGAUUAUUGAUACAUUUGUUCUCACAAACAAUAACGAAGAAGUAUCUUAAAUACAUAACCAAACACUAGUAGAAUCGUAUUGGUUAGUUCAACAAGAAUAAUGGAAACUGGAUCGUCCCAGAUCAACGACAUUAAGAAGGACGAACGAUGUUUCGAAAGGACUGUUUAAUCACCUCACGAAAUUUCAAGGAUAAUAAUUCGAAGCACAUGCCUUCCGCUAAUAAUGGGGUUCGGUGUGACAAAUCUUCAACGGUAUAAACAUAAGAAUUAUGAACAUAAAAAUUACAUGAAAUUGUUCAUUUGGUUAUUAAUCGUUAUUUACAUCGUUUGUUAAACAACGACCUUUGGUACUUGCGAUACAAUGAUUAGAAAAAUUUUACGCAUACGUUACUACGAUUAAGGACACCUGUGGCCGUGAUGUCGGCCAUCUAUCGGUUCCUUUGCUAUUCGAUAAAUGAAUAAACGAAUAAAAUAUCAAGACGUUUAAGCGGUCGAUAAAAACGAAUACAAACAUUAUUGCUUUCAAGAUUCCGUUGUUCUUCAUUUACACAUCAAGCAAAGAAACGUG
Apis mellifera (honey bee) is the source of this 1440-nucleotide long non-coding RNA. RefSeq lists it as uncharacterized. The transcript is spliced from 2 exons. Lineage: Eukaryota; Metazoa; Arthropoda; Insecta; Hymenoptera; Apidae. The record is from RefSeq and is a predicted model, not a curated record.